This is a small nuclear RNA of Dipodomys ordii (Ord's kangaroo rat), 99 nucleotides long. NCBI's taxonomy places the organism in Eukaryota, Metazoa, Chordata, Mammalia, Rodentia, Heteromyidae. The record is from Ensembl.
AUGCUUUGUCAGCACACAUAUUAAAAUCAGAACAAAACAGAGAUUAGCAUGGCCCCAGUACAACCAUAACAUAUAUAUUGUGAAGUUUUCCAUAUAGUU